AGCGGGGUAGCUCAGUUGGUAGAGCUUCGUGCAGUAAGCGGUAGCACUAACCGCUUGGUCGCAGGUUCGAAUCCUGCCCCCGCGACCA
Molecule: transfer RNA, 88 nt
Filed under: Bacteroidales bacterium
Lineage: Bacteria; Pseudomonadati; Bacteroidota; Bacteroidia; Bacteroidales
Description: tRNA-Cys
Rfam family: tRNA
About the family: Transfer RNA (tRNA) molecules are approximately 80 nucleotides in length. Their secondary structure includes four short double-helical elements and three loops (D, anti-codon, and T loops).
Source: RNAcentral